This 56-nucleotide non-coding RNA is filed under the name unclassified sequences. The record is from Rfam.
GUCCGUUCAUCCUGAUAUGGGACGCAUGCAAUCAAGUCAUGGAACGGGGACUUGGU